This 604-nucleotide ribosomal RNA is filed under the name Actinomyces sp. oral taxon 448. Its description in RNAcentral is "bacterial SSU rRNA". It matches the Rfam family "Bacterial small subunit ribosomal RNA", at positions 377 to 975 of the family's 1533-position model. The record is from RNAcentral. Lineage: Bacteria; Bacillati; Actinomycetota; Actinomycetes; Actinomycetales; Actinomycetaceae.
GCCAGCCUGAUGCAGCGACGCCGCGUGAGGGAUGGAGGCCUUCGGGUUGUGAACCUCUGUCGCCGGUGAUGUAGGCUCUGCUUUGUGGGUGGGGUUGACGGUAGCCGGGGUAUGAAGUGCCGGCUAACUACGUGCCAGCAGCCGCGGUAAUACGUAGGGCGCGAGCGUUGUCCGGAAUUAUUGGGCGUAAAGAGCUCGUAGGCGGCUGGUCGCGUCUGUCGUGAAAUCCUCUGGCUUAACUGGGGGCGUGCGGUGGGUACGGGCCGGCUUGAGUGCGGUAGGGGAGGCUGGAAUUCCUGGUGUAGCGGUGGAAUGCGCAGAUAUCAGGAGGAACACCGGUGGCGAAGGCGGGUCUCUGGGCCGUGUACUGACGCUGAGGAGCGAAAGCGUGGGGAGCGAACAGGAUUAGAUACCCUGGUAGUCCAUGCUGUAAACGUUGGGCACUAGGUGUGGGGGGUCUUUCCGGGUCUUCCGCGCCGUAGCUAACGCAUUAAGUGCCCCGCCUGGGGAGUACGGCCGCAAGGCUAAAACUCAAAGGAAUUGACGGGGGCCGCACAAGCGGCGGAGCAUGCGGAUUAAUCGAUGCAACGCGAAGAACCUUACC